Molecule: non-coding RNA, 77 nt
Filed under: Phascolarctobacterium sp.
Lineage: Bacteria; Bacillati; Bacillota; Negativicutes; Acidaminococcales; Acidaminococcaceae
Description: ZTP sequence
Rfam family: ZMP/ZTP riboswitch aptamer (pfl RNA motif)
About the family: Previously known as pfl RNA. ZMP is also known as AICAR.
Source: RNAcentral
AGUAGGUCAUAUAACUGACGGAAGUGGAUUAACCACGUGGAGUAUGACCGGUGUUGCCGACCGUCUGGGCGUUUUAC